RNAcentral lists this ribosomal RNA (483 nucleotides) under uncultured bacterium. RNAcentral describes it as "bacterial SSU rRNA". It matches the Rfam family "Bacterial small subunit ribosomal RNA", at positions 28 to 524 of the family's 1533-position model. The record is from RNAcentral.
UGACGAACGCUGGCGGCGUGCCUAACACAUGCAAGUCGAGCGAUGAAAUUUUCUUCGGAAAAUGGAUUAGCGGCGGACGGGUGAGUAACACGUGAGUAACCUGCCUCAAAGAGGGGGAUAGCCUUCCGAAAGGGAGAUUAAUACCGCAUAAUAUCAGAUGAUCGCAUGGUCGACUGAUUAAAGGAGCAAUCCGCUUUGAGAUGGACUCGCGGCGCAUUAGCUAGUUGGUAAGGUAACGGCUUACCAAGGCGACGAUGCGUAGCCGACCUGAGAGGGUGAUCGGCCACAUUGGGACUGAGACACGGCCCAGACUCCUACGGGAGGCAGCAGUGGGGAAUAUUGCGCAAUGGACGAAAGUCUGACGCAGCAACGCCGCGUGGGUGAUGAAGGUCUUCGGAUUGUAAAGCCCUGUCUUCGAGGACGAUAAUGACCGGUACUCGAGGAGGAAGCCACGGCUAACUACGUGCCAGCAGCCGCGGUAAU